CCUACGGGAGGCUGCAGUGAGGAAUAUUGGGCAAUGGGCGAGAGCCUGAACGAGCCAAGUAGCGUGAAGGAUGACUGCCCUACGGGUUGUAAACUUCUUUUAUAAAGGAAUAAAGUGAGGCACGUGUGCCAUUUUGUAUGUACUUUAUGAAACAGGAAAGGCUAACUCCGUGCCAGCAGCCGCGGUAAUACGGAGGAUACGAGCGUUAUCCGGAUUUAUUGGGUUUAAAGGGAGCGUAGAUGGGUUGUUAAGUCAGUUGUGAAAGUUUGCGGCUCAACCGUAAAAUGGCAAUUGAUACUGGCAGUCUUGAGUACAGUUGAGGUAGGCGGAAUUCGUGGUGUAGCGGUGAAAUGCUUAGAUAUCACGAAGAACUCCGAUUGCGAAGGCAGCUUACUAAACUGCCACUGACAUUGAUGCUCGAAAGUGUGGGUAUCAAACAGGAUUAGAUACCCCUGUAGUC
Molecule: ribosomal RNA, 460 nt
Filed under: uncultured bacterium
Lineage: Bacteria
Description: partial 16S ribosomal RNA
Rfam family: Bacterial small subunit ribosomal RNA
Source: RNAcentral